GAUGAACGCUGGCGGCGUGCAUAACACAUUCAAGUCGAACGGAGUUAUUCCUUCGGGGAUAACUUAGUGGCGGACGGGUGAGUAACGCGUGAGCAACCUGCCCUUGUGUGGGGGACAACAGUUGGAAACGGCUGCUAAUACCGCAUAACACACACCAAUCGCAUGUUUGGUGUGUCAAAGAUUUAUUGCGCAAGGAUGGGCUCGCGUUGGAUUAGAUGGUUGGUGAGGUAACGGCUCACCAAGUCGACGAUCCAUAGCCGGACUGAGAGGUUGAACGGCCACAUUGGAACUGAGAAACGGUCCAG
RNAcentral lists this ribosomal RNA (305 nucleotides) under uncultured bacterium. RNAcentral describes it as "bacterial SSU rRNA". It matches the Rfam family "Bacterial small subunit ribosomal RNA", at positions 28 to 334 of the family's 1533-position model. The record is from RNAcentral.